GUGAGGAAUAUUGGUCAAUGGGCGAGAGCCUGAACCAGCCAAGUCGCGUGAAGGAAGAAGGAUCUAUGGUUCGUAAACUUCUUUUGCAGGGGAAUAAAGUGCGGGACGUGUCCUGUUUUGUAUGUACCCUGAGAAUAAGGAUCGGCUAACUCCGUGCCAGCAGCCGCGGUAAUACGGAGGAUCCGAGCGUUAUCCGGAUUUAUUGGGUUUAAAGGGGGCGUAGGUGGUUUGAUAAGUCAGCGGUGAAAGUUUGCAGCUUAACUGUAAAAAUGCCGUUGAAACUGUCGGACUUGAGUGUAAAUGAGGUAGGCGGAAUGCGUGGUGUAGCGGUGAAAUGCAUAGAUAUCACGCAGAACUCCGAUUGCGAAGGCAGCUUACUAAGCUACAACUGACACUGAAGCACGAAAGCGUGGGGAUCAAACAGGAUUAGAAACCCGUGUAGUCC
Molecule: ribosomal RNA, 445 nt
Filed under: uncultured bacterium
Lineage: Bacteria
Description: partial 16S ribosomal RNA
Rfam family: Bacterial small subunit ribosomal RNA
Source: RNAcentral